This is a long non-coding RNA of Nematostella vectensis (starlet sea anemone), 1240 nucleotides long. RefSeq lists it as uncharacterized. Lineage: Eukaryota; Metazoa; Cnidaria; Anthozoa; Actiniaria; Edwardsiidae. The transcript is spliced from 2 exons. The record is from RefSeq and is a predicted model, not a curated record.
UUGAGUAAGGGGUGACUUAUGGAAGAUGGUAAAUAGGGUGGUGUGGAUUACUAAGUAACUAAACGGUUUCUUCACAUAUGUUUGUGUAUUAAAAAAAUAAUAAAUAAAAAUAACCCGGUCCGCCGAGGCCUGGUCCGCGUAGGUCCUGUCUUCAUUUUACAAAGACCCGCUCCCAUUAUUGAUAAAAAUUUCUGAAGUAAUCAAGCAGUGCUCAUGCGCACACAACUAAUAUGCAGAUAAACGUAACGUAUACAAUUUUUACUCUUACGCCUAAGUUCUUUACCAAAUCAUCAGAUGUUUUUGAAAAUAGACAAACAAGACAUGAUAUCGCCUUUUUUUUAAAUAUGAUUUUCUAGUAAAGAAAGACUAGGACUCAAAACGGUAUGUUCUUAUCGGGAUUAGGAUACCUGUGGAAAGUCACGCAUUUUCAUCUGGCAGACCGCUGAUCAGUUGUUGUCAUCUGAAACCAGACUCGUGUUCAAGUACUUGACCUUUGCAUUGAAAUUAAUCUUACAAAUCGGCUUUUUCCCUAGAAACCUCUUGGCAGAAGUAACUUCCAAGGAUGAACCAAGACAACUAUACAGCAUCUGAGAUUAGUAUAAUUUCUUAUUUGGAACUCCUCAGUUGAAUCUAAGGGACUGGUGCACUUAAAAUACAGACGUUUAUAGGGGUUUUCCUGCGACUUGAAAAAUAAAACAUAGUAACCUAACAUGAUAGAAACUUGUCUUGUUGUCCAAGCUUGGUGAAAAUCUUGUGAGAAUGAAGCAUAGAAAUAGAUAACUACGAGUUUGAUUGUUGAAUGGAAACGGCACGAAUCCAGCUUAAAAUACGAAAAAUUGGAAAUGAUAAGACAAAGCGGUGCUUUCUACGGUAGGUACUAAGUGUUUAUGUGUUUUCAAACAUAUUUUUGUCAACUUGCAGUGAUUUAAGUGCGGGGAAAAUCAUAAGAGAAAGCCGAAUUCGCUGUUUACGACCGACUUCUAACUACAAGUUUUAUCGGCAAACGUCAAGAUUUACAGCAAAAAUACAAACGACAGUCUCAUUCCUAUAUGUAAUUGAAGUAGCCUAAUAUCAAACACAAGUUUAAUGGUAGGAAUUACAGUGCUCUUGUAAGUGGUUCGUUUGCUUUUUGUUUUUCGUUUCUUCGUAGCACAUUUUACGUGUUUUUCUACAAUUGAGUCCCAACUCUACACUAAAAGCGGCCGGGCAAAGAAAACAGGGCUAGCACUUUCUACGCUGA